Molecule: ribosomal RNA, 1708 nt
Filed under: Salmonella enterica subsp. enterica serovar Tennessee
Lineage: Bacteria; Pseudomonadati; Pseudomonadota; Gammaproteobacteria; Enterobacterales; Enterobacteriaceae
Description: bacterial LSU rRNA
Rfam family: Bacterial large subunit ribosomal RNA
Source: RNAcentral
GAAGGUGGCCUGUGAGGGUUGCUGGAGGUAUCAGAAGUGCGAAUGCUGACAUAAGUAACGAUAAAGCGGGUGAAAAGCCCGCUCGCCGGAAGACCAAGGGUUCCUGUCCAACGUUAAUCGGGGCAGGGUGAGUCGACCCCUAAGGCGAGGCCGAAAGGCGUAGUCGAUGGGAAACGGGUUAAUAUUCCCGUACUUGGUGUUACUGCGAAGGGGGGACGGAGAAGGCUAUGUUGGCCGGGCGACGGUUGUCCCGGUUUAAGCGUGUAGGUGUGUGUUCCAGGUAAAUCCGGUUCACUUUAACACUGAGGCGUGACGACGAGGCACUACGGUGCUGAAGCAACAAAUGCCCUGCUUCCAGGAAAAGCCUCUAAGCAUCAGGUAACAUCAAAUCGUACCCCAAACCGACACAGGUGGUCAGGUAGAGAAUACCAAGGCGCUUGAGAGAACUCGGGUGAAGGAACUAGGCAAAAUGGUGCCGUAACUUCGGGAGAAGGCACGCUGACAUGUAGGUGAAGUGAUUUACUCAUGGAGCUGAAGUCAGUCGAAGAUACCAGCUGGCUGCAACUGUUUAUUAAAAACACAGCACUGUGCAAACACGAAAGUGGACGUAUACGGUGUGACGCCUGCCCGGUGCCGGAAGGUUAAUUGAUGGGGUCAGCGCAAGCGAAGCUCCUGAUCGAAGCCCCGGUAAACGGCGGCCGUAACUAUAACGGUCCUAAGGUAGCGAAAUUCCUUGUCGGGUAAGUUCCGACCUGCACGAAUGGCGUAAUGAUGGCCAGGCUGUCUCCACCCGAGACUCAGUGAAAUUGAACUCGCUGUGAAGAUGCAGUGUACCCGCGGCAAGACGGAAAGACCCCGUGAACCUUUACUAUAGCUUGACACUGAACAUUGAGCCUUGAUGUGUAGGAUAGGUGGGAGGCUUUGAAGUGUGGACGCCAGUCUGCAUGGAGCCGACCUUGAAAUACCACCCUUUAAUGUUUGAUGUUCUAACGUGGACCCGUUAUCCCGGGUUGCGGACAGUGUCUGGUGGGUAGUUUGACUGGGGCGGUCUCCUCCUAAAGAGUAACGGAGGAGCACGAAGGUUGGCUAAUCCUGGUCGGACAUCAGGAGGUUAGUGCAAUGGCAUAAGCCAGCUUGACUGCGAGCGUGACGGCGCGAGCAGGUGCGAAAGCAGGUCAUAGUGAUCCGGUGGUUCUGAAUGGAAGGGCCAUCGCUCAACGGAUAAAAGGUACUCCGGGGAUAACAGGCUGAUACCGCCCAAGAGUUCAUAUCGACGGCGGUGUUUGGCACCUCGAUGUCGGCUCAUCACAUCCUGGGGCUGAAGUAGGUCCCAAGGGUAUGGCUGUUCGCCAUUUAAAGUGGUACGCGAGCUGGGUUUAGAACGUCGUGAGACAGUUCGGUCCCUAUCUGCCGUGGGCGCUGGAGAACUGAGGGGGGCUGCUCCUAGUACGAGAGGACCGGAGUGGACGCAUCACUGGUGUUCGGGUUGUCAUGCCAAUGGCACUGCCCGGUAGCUAAAUGCGGAAGAGAUAAGUGCUGAAAGCAUCUAAGCACGAAACUUGCCCCGAGAUGAGUUCUCCCUGAGACUUAGAGUCUCCUGAAGGAACGUUGAAGACGACGACGUUGAUAGGCCGGGUGUGUAAGCGCAGCGAUGCGUUGAGCUAACCGGUACUAAUGAACCGUGAGGCUUAACCUUACAACGCCGAAG